This is a long non-coding RNA of Heterocephalus glaber (naked mole-rat), 692 nucleotides long. The record is from Ensembl. Lineage: Eukaryota; Metazoa; Chordata; Mammalia; Rodentia; Bathyergidae.
UGUGCCAGUGGCUGGCUCCUCAGCCCCAGGGGGAAAAGGGUGUCAGAUUUUGCCUCUCUCGUAACUUCAGGAAAGAUUAAUGAACUUCAGCCCAUCUGCAGUGAACGGCUGAUCCUUCGGGAUGAAAGGAGCUCAAAACACUCAGCCUUAUACUUAACGACUGAUCACUCUUCUUGAGCAGUGGUGUCAUAUUGGCAGGUCUAUCCACAGAACUGUGCUAGACAGUGGAUAACAGUGAAUACCCUUUAAUUGGAAUGGUCACCAAUGGCCUCUCUCAGACACUGUCAGAAGAAUCUAAGAUGGAUCCAUGAAUUUACCUUCAAGGGGAUGUGCGCUAUUCAAAACUAUGCAUCUUUUCCACAAUGGUUCAUUAAAAUUCUAUGGAAAAGAGUCUGGGAAUGGGAUGGGAUGGCACUUCCAGAAUAGUCUUGUGAGGAUCCCAGAAACCAAUGCCCCAGAGGACACAGGAUUAAACUGGUAGAAAUUAGCAAGACUAUUACUUAAAAUCUUUGAUGCUUGACCAAAGGGCUUCCAACAAGUCAAGAAAUGUUUACGCAACAAAAUGUACAGAUAUCGGUAGGAACAAUGUGAGGCCAGGACAAUGAAGGCAGGGCAGCACCUUUCCACUCACCCAGCUUGAUGUUAUGGAAGAGGAUUCCAUGGGGCCUGACAACCAAGUGGCAACUCCGGGC